CGCCUCUUGCCCAUAUAAGAGGUCCAGCCUGCCCAGUGACUUAUUUAACGGCCGCGGUAUCCUGACCGUGCGAAGGUAGCAUAAUCACUUGUUCCUUAAAUCGGGACUAGUAUGAAAGGCAUCACGAGAAUCCAACUGUCUCCUGUUUCUAAUCAGUGAAAUUAAUCUCCCUGUGAAAAAGCAGGGAUAACACCGCAAGACGAGAAGACCCUAUGGAGCUUUAAACUAAGAGACACCCACUUUGUCUCUCUAAACCUUCCGAAAAAAUUAACUAUAAAAGUAGGCUGAUCUCAAGUUUUUGGUUGGGGCGACCGCGGAGUAAAAUACACCCCCCGCAAUGAUAAGCAUAACCUUAAGUUAAAAGCUACACCUUAAAAAUCAGUACACUGACAUAAUUGACCCAAUAUUUUGAUCAACGAACCAAGUUACCCUAGGGAUAACAGCGCAAUCCGCUUUAAGAGUACAUAUCGACAAGCAGGUUUACGACCUCGAUGUUGGAUCAGGGCAUCCUAGUGGUGUAGCCGCUACUAAUGGUUCGUUUGUUCAACGAUUAAAACCCU
RNAcentral lists this ribosomal RNA (560 nucleotides) under Tachiramantis tayrona. RNAcentral describes it as "partial large subunit ribosomal RNA". It matches the Rfam family "Bacterial large subunit ribosomal RNA", at positions 1817 to 2597 of the family's 2925-position model. Lineage: Eukaryota; Metazoa; Chordata; Amphibia; Anura; Strabomantidae. The record is from RNAcentral.